UCCUACGGGAGGCAGCAGUAGGGAAUCUUGGACAAUGGGCGCAAGCCUGAUCCAGCCAUGCCGCGUGAGUGAAGAAGGCCUUAGGGUCGUAAAGCUCUUUCGCCUGUGAUGAUAAUGACAGUAGCAGGUAAAGAAACCCCGGCUAACUCCGUGCCAGCAGCCGCGGUAAUACGGAGGGGGUUAGCGUUGUUCGGAAUUACUGGGCGUAAAGCGCGCGUAGGCGGAUUGGAAAGUUAGAGGUGAAAUCCCGGGGCUCAACCCCGGAACGGCCUUUAAAACUCCCAGUCUAGAGUUCGAGAGAGGUGAGUGGAAUUCCGAGUGUAGAGGUGAAAUUCGUAGAUAUUCGGAGGAACACCAGUGGCGAAGGCGGCUCACUGGCUCGAUACUGACGCUGAGGUGCGAAAGUGUGGGGAGCAAACAGGAUUAGAUACCCUGGUAGUCCACACCGUAAACGAUGAAUGCCAGUCGUCGGGUAGUAUACUAUUCGGUGACACACCUAACGGAUUAAGCACUCCGCCUGGGGAGUACGGUCGCAAGAUUAAAACUCAAAGGAAUUGACGGA
This 562-nucleotide ribosomal RNA is filed under the name uncultured bacterium. RNAcentral's name for it is "bacterial SSU rRNA". It matches the Rfam family "Bacterial small subunit ribosomal RNA", at positions 337 to 917 of the family's 1533-position model. The record is from RNAcentral.